GCUAGCUACAGGCUUAACACAUGCAAGUCGAGGGGCAUCAGGAAGAAAGCUUGCUUUCUUUGCUGGCGACCGGCGCACGGGUGAGUAACACGUAUCCAACCUGCCCUUUACUCGGGGAUAGCCUUUCGAAAGAAAGAUUAAUACCCGAUAGCAUAAUGAUUCCGCAUGGUUUCAUUAUUAAAGGAUUCCGGUAAAGGAUGGGGAUGCGUUCCAUUAGGUUGUUGGUGGGGUAACGGCCCACCAAGCCUUCGAUGGAUAGGGGUUCUGAGAGGAAGGUCCCCCACAUUGGAACUGAGACACGGUCCAAACUCCUACGGGAGGCAGCAGUGAGGAAUAUUGGUCAAUGGGCGCUAGCCUGAACCAGCCAAGUAGCGUGAAGGAUGAAGGCUCUAUGGGUCGUAAACUUCUUUUAUAUAAGAAUAAAGUGCAGUAUGUAUACUGUUUUGUAUGUAUUAUAUGAAUAAGGAUCGGCUAACUCCGUGCCAGCAGCCGCGGUAAUACGGAGGAUCCGAGCGUUAUCCGGAUUUAUUGGGUUUAAAGGGAGCGUAGGUGGACUGGUAAGUCAGUUGUGAAAGUUUGCGGCUCAACCGUAAAAUUGCAGUUGAUACUGUCAGUCUUGAGUACAGUAGAGGUGGGCGGAAUUCGUGGUGUAGCGGUGAAAUGCUUAGAUAUCACGAAGAACUCCGAUUGCGAAGGCAGCUCACUGGACUGCAACUGACACUGAUGCUCGAAAGUGUGGGUAUCAAACAGGAUUAGAUACCCUGGUAGUCCACACAGUAAACGAUGAAUACUCGCUGUUUGCGAUAUACAGUAAGCGGCCAAGCGAAAGCAUUAAGUAUUCCACCUGGGGAGUACGCCGGCAACGGUGAAACUCAAAGGAAUUGACGGGGGCCCGCACAAGCGGAGGAACAUGUGGUUUAAUUCGAUGAUACGCGAGGAACCUUACCCGGGCUUAAAUUGCAGUGGAAUGAUGUGGAAACAUGUCAGUGAGCAAUCACCGCUGUGAAGGUGCUGCAUGGUUGUCGUCAGCUCGUGCCGUGAGGUGUCGGCUUAAGUGCCAUAACGAGCGCAACCCUUAUCUUUAGUUACUAACAGGUCAUGCUGAGGACUCUAGAGAGACUGCCGUCGUAAGAUGUGAGGAAGGUGGGGAUGACGUCAAAUCAGCACGGCCCUUACGUCCGGGGCUACACACGUGUUACAAUGGGGGGUACAGAAGGCAGCUAGCGGGUGACCGUAUGCUAAUCCCAAAAGCCUCUCUCAGUUCGGAUCGAAGUCUGCAACCCGACUUCGUGAAGCUGGAUUCGCUAGUAAUCGCGCAUCAGCCACGGCGCGGUGAAUACGUUCCCGGGCCUUGUACACACCGCCCGUCAAGCCAUGGGAGCCGGGGGUACCAGAAGUACGUAACCGCAAGGAUCGUCCUAGGGUAAAACUGGU
This 1434-nucleotide ribosomal RNA is filed under the name uncultured organism. RNAcentral's name for it is "SSU rRNA". It matches the Rfam family "Bacterial small subunit ribosomal RNA". The record is from RNAcentral.